RNAcentral lists this ribosomal RNA (621 nucleotides) under uncultured bacterium. RNAcentral's name for it is "bacterial SSU rRNA". It matches the Rfam family "Bacterial small subunit ribosomal RNA", at positions 338 to 950 of the family's 1533-position model. The record is from RNAcentral.
CCUACGGGAGGCAGCAGUGGGGAAUUUUGGACAAUGGGGGCAACCCUGAUCCAGCCAUUCCGCGUGAGUGAAGAAGGCCUUCGGGUUGUAAAGCUCUUUCGCAAGGGAAGAAAACUUAUGAUCGAAUAAAUCAUGAGGUUGACGGUACCUUGAUAAGAAGCACCGGCUAACUACGUGCCAGCAGCCGCGGUAAUACGUAGGGUGCGAGCGUUAAUCGGAAUUACUGGGCGUAAAGCGUGCGCAGGCGGUUUUGUAAGUCGGAUGUGAAAUCCCCGGGCUCAACCUGGGAACUGCGUUCGAAACUGCAAGGCUAGAGUGUGUCAGAGGGGGGUAGAAUUCCACGUGUAGCAGUGAAAUGCGUAGAGAUGUGGAGGAAUACCAAUGGCGAAGGCAGCCCCCUGGGAUAACACUGACGCUCAUGCACGAAAGCGUGGGGAGCAAACAGGAUUAGAUACCCUGGUAGUCCACGCCCUAAACGAUGUCAACUAGUUGUUGGUAGAGUAAAAUCUAUGAGUAACGUAGCUAACGCGUGAAGUUGACCGCCUGGGGAGUACGGUCGCAAGNUUAAAACNCAAAGAUAGUCGCGNGNGAGNGCGACGACGACGACGACGGAGGAGGAGG